CAGCUUCAACUUGUUGGGGACUAAUAUAAUGAACGUGCGUAUCCACUCCGCCGGCAGUCGCAAUCAACCCCUCGCCGGCGAUCACCUCGGUCGCCGCGCCGAUGAUCAUCCGCUCUGUAACACCGGACAUUAUGGCAGGAUUGCCGGCCUUGCCGAUGCCGGCAAUUUUUCCGUCUUUAAUCCCAAUAUCCGCCUUCACAAUACCCCAGUAGUCAAGUAUAACAACAUUCGUAAUCAAUAAAUCCAAAGCCCCUUCAGCACUCGUUGCCGCACAGGCUUGAGCCAUUCCGUCACGAAUCG
This 300-nucleotide small RNA is filed under the name Syntrophobotulus glycolicus DSM 8271. RNAcentral's name for it is "5' ureB small RNA". It matches the Rfam family "5' ureB small RNA". Lineage: Bacteria; Bacillati; Bacillota; Clostridia; Eubacteriales; Desulfitobacteriaceae. The record is from Rfam by way of RNAcentral.